AUGGGGGAAACACUGGAGCGGAUGAAAAGAAAGCGGCGGACAAUCCGCUCUUCGACAACGAAGCUGCUAACUCGUAUGGAGGAGGAGGUGAGCGAAGAACAGGUAGACUGUGAGAAACUCCGUGAAAUGCUUUCAGUGUUGUCUACAAAAGAAGAACAACUUGUGGACUUGGACAGAGGCAUUGAGGAUGAAACACCGACAGAUGAACUGGAAGCAGAGAUUGCUAGCACGCAGGACUACCAGGACCGUAUCAUCACAUGGAAGACUCGCACUAAAAGACUUAUUGAAAGGUCACGGGAGUCUGUGAGUGCGCGGGUGGGUGAUAUGGACUCAGUCAGAUCACACAAUCAACAGACUGUUAAACUCCCUAAGCUAGUGAUAGAAAAGUACAGUGGAGAAAUAAGCCAGUGGCACGAAUUUUGGUCACAGUAUGAAAUGGCCAUACACGAAAAUGAUGCACUGUGCAAGAAAGAGAAAUUCACUUACUUGAAAUCUUACUUGACUGGAGCAGCAGCGAGAGCUGUAGCAGGACUUACUAUGAGUGAUAGUAAUUAUGAUGCAGCUAUAGAAAUACUCCAGAAGCGCUUUGGAAGGAAGGACAUUGUAAUCAGUGCGCACAUGUCCAAACUGCUGAACCUUACUCCCGUGAGGAAAUCUUCAGAUGUGACAGCUCUCAGGAAUCUGUACGACGAAUGUGAAAUACAGAUCCGCAGUCUUGAAUCCUUAGGAGUGCAUAGUGACACAUAUGGCUGCCUGCUCUGCCCAGUAUUAAUGCAGUUACUACCAGAGGACAUUGCAUUAGCUUACACACGCAAAUCAGACUCCAAUGGUGAAUGGAAGGUGCAGGACCUUAUUCAAUUCCUGGAAAAAGAAGUGCAAGGCAGAGAGAGGGCACUUCAGCUCACCAGACCAGGAAACACUCAGAAAGAAAUCCCGCCAAGUAACAGAUCCUUCACCAAGCCAACAUCCUUCAGUGAAAAUAGACACAAAAAAUGGAAUACACCCUCAGCAGCUGCACUGCACACUGCAAGUAUUGUUCCGCAGACUUGUGUGUAUUGUGACAGUGCUAGCCAUAAACCAGAAAACUGUCCAGACAGUUCAGUGGCUGCAUGUAAAGAGAAGUUGAGAAAACUAGGGAGGUGUUAUGUGUGUUUAGGCCCAAAACACAUAGCCAAAUUUUGUAGAGUCAAGAAUGUUUCAUGCGCCUUUUGCAGUCGCAGGCAUCACCAGUCAGUAUGUGAACAAGGUGAAGCAAAGACAGACACAAACAAUGAUGGUACAGACAGCAGUGCAGAUAAAGGCAGCACAGGGACUUCGGUAGGCUCAGUGACCAGCGCAGUAAACCUAAAGGCUAAUGUGCAGAACACAGUACUUCUCCAGACAGCCAAAGCAUGGGCAGAGGGCCCAGCAGGUAGAAAAUUAGUGCGCUGUCUGUUAGAUGGAGGUAGUCAGAGAAGCUUCAUUCACGAGGCUGUAGUGAGGGCACUACAGUUACCAGUGGUGAGGCAAGAGACAUUGAAGCUACACACCUUUGGCUCUAAUGAGCCUGUAACCGCAAAGCGAAACAUAGAGUAUCACUAGGAAGUGUGUGGAGCGCACAGCCAAAAGUCGAGAUUGAAGCAGUAGAAACUCCUCAAGUGUGCACCGCUGUAAUCAGGGUGCCUGGGUUACCCAUCCAAGAAGAGUUUAAGAAAAGGGGCCUGCAGCUUGCUGAUCUUCCUCUAGAGUGCGCUCAGGAUCCAGAAUUGUCAGUAUUGAUAGGUUCAGAUUUUUACUGGCAAGUAGUCUCAGGCAAGGUAGAAAGAAUAACAGAAACCCUUGUAGCCAUAGAAAGCAGCUUUGGGUGGGCUUUGCAAGGGCCAGUCUCAUCAUCCAGUGUAACAGACGCCACUUGCCUGCACAUCAGUCUAAGUGAGGAAACCCAAAUCUCAAAACAGCUGCAUGCCUUCUGGGAGAUAGAGUCUCUGGGCAUUGUCAAUGAGCCAGCAGAGAGCCCAGAAGAAGCAGAGGCUCUUCAGAACUUUGAGCAGACCACCACAUUCAAAGAUGGCCGCUACCAAGUGGCGUUACCAUGGCGACCGGACAGGUCGGCUCUUCCAGACAACUUUCGGGUUGCAAAAAAACGACUGGAUAGCCUUAAGAGGAAACUUAAAGUGGACGCAACCUUAUACACAAGGUACAACGAUGUCUUGAUCUGUUCUGUACGACAUCUAUUGCACGUCUGUCCGUCCUGGAAGAGGGAUCCCUCCUCAGUUGCUCUUCCUGAGGUUUCUACCGUUUUUUUUUCCCCCGUUAAAGGGGUUUUUUUGGGGAGUUUUUCCUUAUCCGCUGUGAGGGUCUUAAGGACAGAGGGAUGUCGUAUGCUGUAAAGCCCUGUGAGGCAAAUUGUGAUUUGUGAUAUUGGGCUUUAUAAAUAAAAUUGAAUUGAAAUUGAAUUGAAUAAAGGAUUAUCUCGAGCAAGGCAUCUGUGAGGAUGCACCAAAUGACAUACCAGCAGCAGAGCAACAAGAGACUGUCAAGUAUCACAUGCCACAUCAUGCAGUUCUACGAGAAGAUAAGGUAACUACUAAAUUAAGAGUAGUAUUUGAUGCAUCAUCACAUGAGGAAGGCUGCCCAUCCCUAAAUGACAGCUUAUUCACUGGACCGAACCUUAACCCAAAUCUGCUAGAUGUGCUUAUCAAAUUCAGACUGCAUCAGAUAGCCUUCACUACAGAUAUAGCCAAGGCAUUUCUACAGAUCGCUCUGGCAGAGAAAGAUAAAGACGCUGUCAGAUUCUUGUGGCUACAUGGACCUCCAACCAAAGACUGUGAAAACGAGCUGCGCAUCAUGAGAAUGAACAGAGUGGUGUUUGGAGUUUCACCCAGUCCGUUCCUCUUAGCCGCAACAAUAAGGAAACACAUCAAGAUGUAUGAAACAGAGCAGCCCAAGACAGUGCAGGCACUGAGAGAGUCCCUGUAUGUGGAUGAUUUUAUCUCCAGCUCAGCUAAUGUGAACGAGGCCUUUUCAGUCACCACAACAGCAAAGGAAAUUCUGUCCCAUGCGGGAAUGAAUUUGUGUAAAUGGGUGACAAACUCACCGGAGCUGAGAGCCAAGUGGAUAGAAAGUGGACUGGAACAUACAACCAAGACAGACAAAGGUGGAAAUGUGCUCAAGGUGUUGGGUUUAGUAUGGAGACCGGAGAGCGAUGACUUUGUGUUUGAUCUGAAAGGACUGUUGGAAAUGUUGAAAGGCAAAGAAAACACAAAGAGAAGUGUGCUGCAAACAUCAGCUCGUAUUUUUGAUCCCAUAGGUUUCCUUACUCCCUUCACCAUAAGAGUAAAAUGUCUGUUUCAGGAAUUGUGGGAAAGGGGAAUCAGUUGGGAUGAGCAACUCCCACCAGACUUGACUGAAAAAUGGGACCAGUGGUGUGCAGAGCUGCCGAAGCUCCACCUGGUGGCCAUUCCGAGAUGGUACAAAAUUGACAUCCAGCCAAUCUCAGAGACAAUCAAACUGCAUGUUUACUGUGAUGCUAGUGAGAAGGCAUACAGCGCUGUGGCCUAUCUGCAAGGACAAAAUGAGGAAGGAGAAGUUGUGAUGAGCUUUGUUGCAUCCAAGUCAAAGGUGGCUCCAUUAAAGAAAAUGACAUUGCCACGUUUAGAGCUGAUGGGUGCACUGAUCGGUGCAAGGCUUGGGAACAAUCUUCUCAAGCCAAUGAACAUGGAAAGCAGUCAGCUUAACAUGUGGACAGAUUCAAUGAUUGUCCUUCACUGGAUACGCAGCACAGCACAAAGGUGGAAGCCAUUUGUGGCAAACAGAGUGACUGAAAUACAAGGUCUGACAGAUCCAGAGUCAUGGUCUCACUGCUGCGGCAAAGUAAAUCCUGCAGAUUUGCCAACAAGAGGCCAGAGCGUCGAAACACUCAUUCAGAGUCAGCUGUGGUGGAGCGGACCAACUCCACUGUCAUCUUCUGGUGAGGAGCCUUUGUGCUCCACUGUCUCUCAGAUUAACUCAUAUCACAGCGGUGCCUGGACAGCGUGACGUGUGUGGUUGUGCUGCUGCCGUGGUCCCGCCAGAUGCCUCCUGCUGCUGCUGCCAUCAUUAGUCAUUAGUCAUACUUCUUCUGUUAUUAUACACAUAUGAUUAUUGUCACACAUGUAUACUGCCAGAUAUUAAUACAUACUUUCAACAUAUUGUACCGCAGUAACCAGAACUAUAACUAUAAUAUUAUUACUUCCAUUAAUGUUGUUGUAAGAUACUGUCAUUACCUGCAUAUCUCUCUCUCGCUCUCUCUCUCUCUCUCCCUCUCUCUCUCUCUCUCUCUCUCUCUCUCUCUCUCCCUGUGUCAUAUGGAUUACUGUUAAUUUAUCAUGUUGAUCUGUUCUGUACGACAUCUAUUGCACGUCUGUCCGUCCUGGAAGAGGGAUCCCUCCUCAGUUGCUCUUCCUGAGGUUUCUACCGUUUUUUCCCCGUUAAAGGGGUUUUUUUGGGGAGUUUUUCCUUAUCCGCUGUGAGGGUCAUAAGGACAGAGGGAUGUCGUAUGCUGUAAAGCCCUGUGAGGCAAAUUGUGAUUUGUGAUAUUGGGCUUUAUAAAUAAAAUUGAUUGAAAUUGAUUGAUUUCAGACUGUAGUGCAGUUUACCAGCACUGAACAAGCUGACCCACUGUUACGGUUAGAAAAGUAUAGCAGGUUGAAAACAGUGCUAAGGAUAACUGCUUGGGUGAAAAGGUUCAUCACUAAUGCCAGAUCUAGUCAGAAAACUCAGGGAGAGCUAACUGCACUGGAGCUCACUGCAGCAGAAAUGUACUGGGUGAGGGUGGCACAAGAACACAGUUUCUGCCAAGAAGUUAGUGCACUGAAAGCUGGACAAGAUGUAAGCAGAGUGUCAAAAAUUAGGGACUUGAAACCAUUCUUAGAUGAAAACAGCCUUAUUUGUGUAGGAGGAAGGCUACAGCACUCCGAUCUUAGCUUCAGGGAGCAACACCCAUGGGUGCUACCGACAAAACACAAGUAUUCUAAGUUACUGGUUCAGUAUUGCCAUGAGACAGUGAUGCAUUCUGGGGUUAGAGAUACUCUAGUGCAGAUGAGGGAAAAAUACUGGGUACUAAAGGGGAGACAGUUAGUGAAGAAAAUGGUUUCACGUUGCUACAUAUGUUUGAAACUGAAGGUGAAACCAGCACAGCAAGUCACAGCUCCCCUACCCAGAGACCGAGUUACUGAGUCCCCACCAUUUCAGAUUACUGGGGUAGAUUUUGCAGGGCUAUUAUAUGUCAAGACUAGUGGUCAAUCCAAGGCAUAUAUUGCUCUUUUCACUUGUGCUGUCACAAGGGCAGUGCAUUUAGAGCUUGUGACAGAUCUAACUACAGAAAGGUUUCUAUUAGCCUUAAAGAGGUUCAUUGCAAGGCGAGGACUGUGUAAAGUUAUUUACUCAGAUAAUGCCAAAACUUUCAAAAGAGCAGAUAAAGAUCUGAGAGAACUGUGGAAGUCAAUCAGGGGAUCAGAACUCACUGAAUUCUUCACCAAUAAGGGGAUCACCUGGAAGUUUAUUGCCGAGCGAGCUGCAUGGUGGGGUGGCUUCUGAGAAAGACUAGUGAGAUCUGUAAAGGCAUGUUUAAAACGGGUGCUAAGGAAGGCAUCACUGUGCUUCGAGGAGCUGACGACAAUGCUUGCAGAAAUAGAGGCUGUGUUGAACUCCAGACCUCUUUCGUAUGUGGACAGUGAAUCAACAGAGCCGCAGCCACUCACACCCUCUCACUUCCUGGUUGGGAAAAGAUUAACCUCCCUACCACCAAAGACUGAUUCCACUCUGUCAGGCGACCAACGUGAGCAGAGAGGACAUGGGCCGGCGGUGGAAAUACCGGCAGAGACUCUUAACCAGCUUUUGGAAUAGCUGGAGGAAGGAUUACUUGAGGGACUUGAGAUCAGCUCACGAGUGUAAGACCCCUAUACCCACUGUGCUGAAGGUGGGAGAUGUCGUACUGAUUGGAGAGGACAAAUUGCCCAAACAUACAUGGAAAAUGGGCAGAAUAAUUGAACUGUUUCCAGGCAGAGAUGGACUUGUUCGUUCCUGUGCUGUUCGAACAUCUGCGGGCAGUUUGUUGAGGAGACCUGUCCAGUUGAUAUAUCCUUUAGGGAUUGUUUAAAGUCAUGGACAGAGUAUUGAUGAACAUUUGUUCAUCGGGCGGGAGUGUUAAGAAAUGUUAACUUAAAUAAAUAAGUAAAUUCACGGUCAGUUAAAAGGGCAAAGUAUUUACAGUUGAAAAUGUUGAUAUUUACAAUAUUUACAUGUCACAAGAAACAAGAAAUGGUUAUUGUUGUAUUUAACCAGAGAUUUGAUUUCUUUGAAAGCUUUGAGUUGAACUACUUUAAAUGCUUUUAUUUUGAAAGUUGAGAGUGCGUUCAAAGGCCACCCCCAUGUUAGCUAGUGAUGUUGAAAUAUUAAAGGCUUGCGAGACAGGGGAAGAGAGCUCUGCUUUGCAUAUUUUUCCAACCAAUAUGCAAGUAACUGAGCAUAAUUUUAUCCAGUUGAUUACCAUGUGUCCAGAUUAUGUUAAGAUAGAAGCCAAAGAUUUCAAACAUAACAGGAAAACAGGCCAAUUGGAAUGUACAGCAGGGCAUCAUAGUAAUGCGGACACAUGUUUACCGGAGAGUUUGUGUUUGGCAAGGAAUGCACGUGUUAUGUUAUGUAAGAACGUAGAUGUUGAGGACGGUCUGGUCAAUGGCGCAUGUGGCACGGUAACUCAUAUCGAUUUUGGUGAUGAUGAGAAGUUUCCUAAAACAGUUUAUGUCAAAUUUGAUGAUGAGAAAAUUGGCUCACAGAGGAGGAAAACACAUGCACAUGCAGCAGUAGAAUGCAGGUAUUCUACUGUUAUUGAUCCCGAGGAGGACAGGGCAACUAAAGCAGGUGGUCUGCGAUUUCAUUUUCCUCUUAGGCUAGCGUGGGCGUGUACAGUGCAUAAAGUGCAGGGAUUAAUGGUAGAUGAGGCUGUAGUGUCUUUGAAGAAGUUGUUCGCACCUGGGCAGGCGUAUAUAGCUUUGAGCCAUGUUAGGGCUUUGUCUGGACUGAUCAUCAGGGAUUUUAAAGAGAAGGCCAUUUACCUCAAGGAUGCCAUAAAGGAGGCCUUAGACAGCAUGCCCCCAUUUUUAAUUGAGCAGCCUAAAGUUUCUCUGUGUAUUUAAUGAACGUUCAAAAUUUAAGUCGCCACCUGGCAGAUUUGGUGUCUUGCACACAGCAUUUACAGCCUAACUGUAUUGCUGUCACAGAAAUGUGGCUCACUGCACAGUCCCCGUUAGACAGUGUCCAAAUUGAUGGAUAUGCUUUCCACAGUCGUCCGCGAGGUUUGUGUUGCAGCAGCAGUAACCCCAAAUUGUUAGAGCUCCAGGAUCUAGAACAUGGUGGAGUUGGUUUGUACAGUGUAGGUAAUUUGGACUGUAGCAUCCUGCAGGCACCCGAUUUGAAUCUGGAGUGUUUGGUGUGCCUGUGUAGCAAAUUUAACAUUCUGAUGGUAGUAAUUUAUCGUCCACCAUGUUAUCCAAAGUCUUUAUUUAAACAAAAUCUGGGGAAAUUACUUGAUUGGUUGAAUCCAAUUAGUGACACAGUUGUAGUGAUGGGAGAUUUUAAUGAGAAUGUUUGAAAAAAUCAUCAAUUUGUAAAUUCAUGGGGCAAAAAGGAUUUCAUCAGCAUGUAACACAGGAGACAACAGAAAAGGGGACAUUAAUUGAUCACGUUUAUAUUAAAACAGCACAGUAUGAUGUGGAAUGUGCAGUGAUGCCCACAUACUUCAGUGAUCAUGAAGGUAUUCUGUGUAGUUUUAGUGUAAGAGAUGAUCAGGGUGAGCUAGAGGACUUAAACAGGUUGUUUGAGGACUUUCAGGAUGUAGAGGUGGAUGCGUAGUGUUUAGAUGUGGAUUAGAUCAGGUUGGUGUGUGUAGUCUGCGAUGCAGCUUCAUGUGACUCAUACAAAGUCCCAGUGCAAAUGUAGGUAGUGGUGGUGUUAUUAUUGUCAUUGUGUUUAUCUGUAGAGUUUUAAGAGGAAACUGACUUGCAGUUUGUUGUUGUGUAGGUUUGCACUCACGUGAAUUUGUGUUAGUGUUGAGUCUGUCCCACUCCAUUGUGUGAAGAUUGUGUAUUGUAGGGAGAUUUGAGUGUAUUGUGUGGAAAUGUUUUUAGUAUGUUGAUAUGAUUAUUGUGUAGAGAUUUUAGGUGAAACCAAUCAUGUAUUACAGGUGGAAUUAGUUGAGUGUUAGCUGUUGUGAAUAGUGUUAGUUAAUUAAUAUAAUCAUGGUUUUUACAGCUGUUAGUGAUUGUAGAUGUGUUGGUCUCUGUCUGCCACAUGUUGGUUGUUGGUCUCUGUUACGACUGUGAAUGUAUGUAUUUAUGCAUGUUAGAGUUUGUGGUUCUUUCACUCCUGAUGUGUUCAUAUGCAACUGUUUCAGUCAUGAAAAUAUGAAAAGGUUAAUUUGACUCAAACAAAUACAUCAAUAGAAAAUAGACAGGCUUGAUGUUGCAUGUUUUCUGUAGCCCUCUAGUGUUCAAAAUUCUGACCAGUAACUUAGAAAAGAUGCAACAGUUAAAUUAUGAUGUUACAUAUGAACACAAAAGGAAAUAUUGUAUUUAAUAAGUGAACAGUUAAUAUUAUGGUUGUUACUUAUUCAUGUAUUUAUUUAUCAAUCAAUCAAUGUUAUUGAUAAAACCCAAUAUCACAAAUCACAAUUUGCCUCACAGGACUUUACAGGAUACGACAUCCCUCUGUCCUUGGGACCCUCACAGCUGAUCAUGAGCCUCCCACCACACACACACACACAAACACACACACACACACACACACACACACACACACACACGCACACACACACAAAAUGGUAGAAAGCUCAGGAAGAGCAACUGAGGAGGGAUCCCUCUUCCCAGACAGACAAACAGGCAGUAGAUGGCGUACAGAACAGAUCAGCAUAAUAAACAGUAAUACGUAUGACACAAUGAGACAGAGAGAAAUACAGAGAGAGAGACAGAGAGACAGAGAGGUGCAGGAGAAACGGUAAUGACAGCAGCUUACAACAACAAUCAUCUGGCAGGAGCACGGUAGCAACAGUAGCUUUUAAUACAGGAAGUGCAGUCAGUAGUUCAGAUAAGAAAUGCUCAUGUUUGUGUACAUGACCUUACAGCAACUCUGACCUUACAGCAAAUCUGUUCUGGCACCACAAGGCACAGACUCUUCAUUCUGCAUGUCUUAGCUGCCGAACAGGACACUUGUACACAAAACAUGCUGCUGCUGCUGCUGCUGCUGCUGUUGUUGUUUCCACGAAUUCUCCUCCCCCUUGUGUCCCUGCAAUCUUAUGUUUUCUCUUUCCCUGUCCCUUUCAAACUUUCUAUAGCUCAUUGACACCGCUUAAAUGAAUUGAAUAGUUGGUUGGUGGCGUUUCCUUUUUAACAGUAAUCUUUCUUCUCUGUGAGGUGGUUGAAAAUGCUGCUGUGAUGGAGCAUCCCAACCUCUGCAGUCCCCAAGUGAUAUUGAUGAGCAAGUGGAAUUUUGGGACAAAAGUUCCACGUGUUUGUUUGUUUUUUGUGUGUGUGCAUGUUCUGCCCAAGAUGUACUGUAGUCUAUGUGAGGGGCAUGAUAAAAGUUCAAAAAGUAAUCCCAUGUCAAUUGUUGUUUGAGAGCAUGGACAGGAAGAGAAUGUAGGACUGUUAAUUGCUCUUUUUUUUUCUACAUGAACUAUAAAGUGAAACAAUGAGUUAUGUAAAUGAAUGUCCUGACGUGUUUUGUUGCCAUAUUUUCAACCAAUGUAUUAACUAAAAUUUAACUGUGAUAUGUUGGCUAUGGAAACAAAAUGUCAUCUCCAAAGUAUCCACAUUCAAAUGAAAUACACUGUAAUGAUAAAUAAACUAUAUAAU
This is an RNA transcript of Epinephelus fuscoguttatus (brown-marbled grouper), 9866 nucleotides long. RefSeq lists it as uncharacterized. The transcript has 2 exons. Lineage: Eukaryota; Metazoa; Chordata; Actinopteri; Perciformes; Serranidae. The record is from RefSeq and is a predicted model, not a curated record.